GGUCUGAGAGGAUGAUCCGCCACACUGGGACUGAGACACGGCCCAGACUCCUACGGGAGGCAGCAGGGGGGAAUUUUGGACAAUGGGCGCAAGCCUGAUCCAGCCAUGCCGCGUGUCUGAAGAAGGCCUUCGGGUUGUAAAGGACUUUUGUCCGGGAGCAAAUCCCAGUGGUUAAUACCUACUGGGGCUGAGAGUACCGGAAGAAUAAGCACCGGCUAACUACGUGCCAGCAGCCGCGGUAAUACGUAGGGUGCAAGCGUUAAUCGGAAUUACUGGGCGUAAAGCGUGCGCAGGCGGUUGUGCAAGUCUGAUGUGAAAGCCCCGGGCUUAACCUGGGAACGGCAUUGGAGACUG
RNAcentral lists this ribosomal RNA (354 nucleotides) under bacterium LimC-10-J-103. Its description in RNAcentral is "bacterial SSU rRNA". It matches the Rfam family "Bacterial small subunit ribosomal RNA", at positions 289 to 635 of the family's 1533-position model. The record is from RNAcentral. RNAcentral also lists the same sequence under 2 other names.